This 708-nucleotide non-coding RNA is filed under the name Perkinsus marinus ATCC 50983. RNAcentral describes it as "Eukaryotic large subunit ribosomal RNA". It matches the Rfam family "Eukaryotic large subunit ribosomal RNA", at positions 1 to 628 of the family's 3401-position model. Lineage: Eukaryota; Perkinsozoa; Perkinsida; Perkinsidae. The record is from Rfam by way of RNAcentral.
AAGGCCUGAUGUGUGUGAGAUUACCCGCUGAAUUUAAGCAUAUAAGUAAGCGGAGGAAAAGAAACUAACUAGGAUUCCCUUAGUAAUGGCGAAUGAACAGGGAUCAGCUCAGUGCCAAAUCGGAAUCACUUGUGGUUCUGAAAUGUGGCUUGAAGGCAGUACCAGUGGCAUCGCGGACGAAAGUCUCUUGGAAAAGAGCGUCAUAGAGGGUGAGAAUCCCGUGAGUCGUUCGCCGUUUGUCACGUACGGUCUGCGUUCUAACGAGUCGCGUUCCUUGGGAUUGGAGCGUAAACGGGUGGUAAAUUUCAUCCAAAGCAAAAUAUAUACUCGAGACCGAUAGCACAAAAGUACCGUGAGGGAAAGGUGAAAAGAACUUUGAGAAGAGGGUUAAAUAGUGCCUGAAAUCGUUGAGAAGGAAGCGGAUGCCGCCGUUGCAUAUGCUGAUUGUAGGAUUGCUGCUCGCUCCUGUCUUCUGCUACUCAUUCACAGACCUGGUCGUGUUGAGCAGUUGUUUGGCAGAUGUUAGUGGUGUUUCCUACUUUCAGUCGUCAGCAUCACUGGCUGAGUGGAAAUAAUCCUUGGAUGCUAAUUGGUUCGCUAUCUGUGAAUUGGUUGCUUCCUUGCGAUACUCACUACUCGGUCAGUGAGGAAGUGCGUUUGCUGGUCACGAGCUUUCUACUGUCAUACCCUGCGCUUUUCGAUCGUCGA